AAGCGUUAAUCGGAAUCACUGGGCGUAAAGCGCGCGUAGGUGGAUAUUUAAGUCGAAUGUGAAAGCCCUAGGCUUAACCUAGGAACUGCAUCCGAUACUAAAUACCUCGAGUAUGGUAGAGGGAAGUGGAAUUUCCGGUGUAGCGGUGAAAUGCGUAGAUAUCGGAAAGAACACCAGUGGCGAAGGCGGCUUCCUGGACCAAUACUGACACUGAGGCGCGAAAGCGUGGGGAGCAAACAGGAUUAGAGACCCUGGUAGUCCACGCCGUCAACGAUGAGAACUAGCUGUUAAAAAGUUUACUUUCUAGUAGCAAAGCUAACGCGUUAAGUUCUCCG
RNAcentral lists this ribosomal RNA (335 nucleotides) under Coxiella-like endosymbiont. RNAcentral's name for it is "bacterial SSU rRNA". It matches the Rfam family "Bacterial small subunit ribosomal RNA", at positions 536 to 871 of the family's 1533-position model. Lineage: Bacteria; Pseudomonadati; Pseudomonadota; Gammaproteobacteria; Legionellales; Coxiellaceae. The record is from RNAcentral.